RNAcentral lists this ribosomal RNA (265 nucleotides) under uncultured prokaryote. Its description in RNAcentral is "partial 16S ribosomal RNA". It matches the Rfam family "Bacterial small subunit ribosomal RNA", at positions 524 to 788 of the family's 1533-position model. The record is from RNAcentral.
UACGGAGGAUCCGAGCGUUAUCCGGAUUUAUUGGGUUUAAAGGGUGCGCAGGCGGGGUGUUAAGUCGGCGGUGAAAUUUUGCAGCUCAACUGUAAAAGUGCCUUCGAUACUGGCUUUCUUGAGUGUGGAUGAAGUAGGCGGAAUUUGUGGUGUAGCGGUGAAAUGCUUAGAUAUCACGAGGAACUCCGAUUGCGCAGGCAGCUUACUAAACCACUACUGACGCUCAUGCACGAAGGCGUGGGGAUCAAACAGGAUUAGAUACCCU